AUUGAACGCUGGCGGCAUGCCUAACACAUGCAAGUCGAACGGCAGCAUGACAAGAGCUUGCUCUUGUUGAUGGCGAGUGGCGGACGGGUGAGUAAUAUGUAGGAAUCUACCUGGAGGUGCGGGAUAACUUAGGGAAACUUAAGCUAAUACAACAUAAGCCCUACGGGGGAAAGCAGGGGAUCUUCGGACCUUGCGCCUUAUGAUGAGCCUACAGUGGAUUAGCUUGUGGGUGGGGUAAAGGCCGACAACGGCGACGAUACAUAGCUGGUCUGGGAGGAUGAUCAGCCACACUGGGAAUGAGACACGGCCCAGACUCCUACGGGAGGCAGCAGUGGGGAAUAUUGGACAAUGGGGGCAACCCUGAUCCAGCAAUGCCGCGUGUGUGAAGAAGGCCUUAGGGUUGUAAAGCACUUUCAGUGGGGAGAAAGUUUGAGGUGAUAAUACCACCAUCAAAUUGAUGUUACCCACAGAAGAAGCACCGGCUAACUCUGUGCCAGCCGCCGCAGUAA
This 509-nucleotide ribosomal RNA is filed under the name uncultured bacterium. RNAcentral's name for it is "partial 16S ribosomal RNA". It matches the Rfam family "Bacterial small subunit ribosomal RNA", at positions 30 to 523 of the family's 1533-position model. The record is from RNAcentral.